Molecule: long non-coding RNA, 427 nt
Organism: Mangifera indica (mango)
Lineage: Eukaryota; Viridiplantae; Streptophyta; Magnoliopsida; Sapindales; Anacardiaceae
Exons: 2
Source: RefSeq, a predicted model, not a curated record
AAUAGGCAUUAUAUAAUUUUGCUCAGAAAAAUAUAGAAAAUUAAGGGAUAACCAAAAAUAAAAAAAAUCAUGAAGAAUUCUAUGUUGCUUAGCAUUUUUAUCUUAAUUCUUCUAUUUAGCUUACCCGACUCCUUUCAAGAAGAUCCUAUGGCCACGCGCAACGUUGAAUUCCGACAUAUUGGUGGCUGUAAAAGAGAUAGAGUGCGUCAGUGCACGGACGAGGCAAUAGAAAAAUAUGGGGAAAUUUCUAAUCCAGAGGGAUGUACAUGUGAUACUUUUAUAGCCUUCCACAUUUGCAGGUGCACUAUCCAUAAUACUUCUUGAAAGCCAAAUGAAGUUCAAAACCAACUACAAAUACUUAAUCGGUUGAUUAUUAGGCAUGUAAUAAAGUUCAACCGUAUAAUAAUAAAGUCAAAAUGUUUGAUGA